This 404-nucleotide long non-coding RNA is filed under the name Helianthus annuus (common sunflower). Lineage: Eukaryota; Viridiplantae; Streptophyta; Magnoliopsida; Asterales; Asteraceae. The record is from RNAcentral.
CUAAUUAUUCAUCACACAACGGCAGUAGCAAGACCCCUGUUUCUGUUUCGGUUUACAUCACAACUAGUCGGAUUUCUGUGGGUUUUUGUAUGUGUCUUGCUAGGGUAAAUGUUAGGCGUUUAUGAACAGACAGUUAAGCGAGUAAAUAAUCUUACCGAGCAAAACCAAGGUCCAGGUAUCUUGGAUUUGGGAACUUGCUGUCUGGAAUAGCUGGAGUGGUCAUGGGUCGACUGGAGGGAAUCAUGUAUUUAAACUAUUGAUACUAUACAUUGGUUUCGAAAUAGUUUAACUUGGGUUUACUAUUUGCUUCCGCUGAACAUGUUGGUUUUCAUUUAAACUUGUUAAUGAUAAUUGAGGAUUUUAUUUGGAAAUUUGUAUGGGUUCAAUGUAAUUAGUGGCUUGUU